GGGUCAGUAGGUUGGUCGUGCCACCGGUACGUACUGGUCUCACUGGUUCCUCCUUCCUGAAGAACCGUAAUGCCAUUAAUUUGGUGUUGCGGGGAAACAGGACUGUUACUUUGAAAAAAUUAGAGUGUUUAAAGCAAGCUAACGCUUGAAUACAUUAGCAUGGAAUAAUGAAAUAGGGCGAUCGAUCCUAUUUUGUUGGUUUCUAGGAUUGACGUA
This 216-nucleotide ribosomal RNA is filed under the name Glomeromycotina sp. RNAcentral describes it as "partial small subunit ribosomal RNA". The stretch from base 47 to 216 matches the Rfam family "Eukaryotic small subunit ribosomal RNA", at positions 693 to 864 of the family's 1831-position model. Lineage: Eukaryota; Fungi; Glomeromycota. The record is from RNAcentral.